Long non-coding RNA from Sebastes umbrosus (honeycomb rockfish), 682 nucleotides. RefSeq lists it as uncharacterized. NCBI's taxonomy places the organism in Eukaryota, Metazoa, Chordata, Actinopteri, Perciformes, Sebastidae. The record is from RefSeq and is a predicted model, not a curated record. The transcript is spliced from 7 exons.
GCAUUACACCCCCUUCAGCUGCAGCAUGCAUCCUCUGGUCCGACCUGUUAGACUUGAAGUAUUUGCAAUAUAUCCAGCAAUGGCUAGAGAAGGUGUGUAUAUUUCUGAGUCAGUAUCAUGAUACCUGAUGUGAGUUUGCAGAAAUAAUACUUUUAAUGUGAUAAAGUAGUAUUAUGAUGCUGGAGCGGUGCGACUAGACCGCAUGGACGCGGAAAUGUGGAGGGCCGGUGGUAAAAAUGGGAUCCAUGCAGUGGUUUUGAGGUGAUUGCACAUCUGCACGUGGACAGAAGGGUGGUGUGCUUUCAGAGGUUGGCUAAGGCCCUACAUUGAGUCUUUAUGAUGGAAAUUGGUGGUGUGCUAAGGCCCUCCAUGACUCUUUAUGAUGGAAAUUGGUGUGGCUGAUCCCUGCAGUAGAUAACGGCCGGGGGUAAAAUCGGAUCCAUGCAGUGUUUUUGAGGUGAUUGCACAUAUACACGUGGACAGAAGGGUGAUGUGCUAUGGCCCUCCAUGACUCUUUAUGAUGGAAAUUGGUGUGGCUGAUCCCUGCAGUAGAUAAGAUACAACCGGACGCGCAAGAAAUGGACGAGGUGACACCGGGACUCUGAACCAGAAUACUUAAAAAUAUAUUGUUGAACUGUAGGAUUAUAACGUCCUGUGUGAAUAAAGCAUUUGUCAACAAACA